This 497-nucleotide ribosomal RNA is filed under the name uncultured bacterium. RNAcentral describes it as "partial 16S ribosomal RNA". It matches the Rfam family "Bacterial small subunit ribosomal RNA", at positions 28 to 507 of the family's 1533-position model. The record is from RNAcentral.
GAUGAACGCUGGCGGCGUGCCUAAUACAUGCAAGUCGAGCGAACAGACGAGGAGCUUGCUCCUCUGGCGUUAGCGGCGGACGGGUGAGUAACACGUGGAUAACCUACCUAUAAGACUGGGAUAACUUCGGGAAACCGGAGCUAAUACCGGAUAAUAUAUUGAACCGCAUGGUUCAAUAGUGAAAGACGGUUUUGCUGUCACUUAUAGAUGGAUCCGCGCCGCAUUAGCUAGUUGGUAAGGUAACGGCUUACCAAGGCAACGAUGCGUAGCCGACCUGAGAGGGUGAUCGGCCACACUGGAACUGAGACACGGUCCAGACUCCUACGGGAGGCAGCAGUAGGGAAUCUUCCGCAAUGGGCGAAAGCCCGACGGAGCAACGCCGCGUGAGUGAUGAAGGUCUUCGGAUCGUAAAACUCUGUUAUUAGGGAAGAACAAAUGUGUAAGUAACUAUGCACGUCUUGACGGUACCUAAUCAGAAAGCCACGGCUAACUACGUG